RNAcentral lists this transfer RNA (74 nucleotides) under Asparagopsis taxiformis. RNAcentral's name for it is "tRNA-Met". It matches the Rfam family "tRNA". From Rfam's summary of the family: Transfer RNA (tRNA) molecules are approximately 80 nucleotides in length. Their secondary structure includes four short double-helical elements and three loops (D, anti-codon, and T loops). Further hydrogen bonds mediate the characteristic L-shaped molecular structure. tRNAs have two regions of fundamental functional importance: the anti-codon, which is responsible for specific mRNA codon recognition, and the 3' end, to which the tRNAs corresponding amino acid is attached (by aminoacyl-tRNA synthetases). tRNAs cope with the degeneracy of the genetic code in two manners: having more than one tRNA (with a specific anti-codon) for a particular amino acid; and 'wobble' base-pairing, i.e. permitting non-standard base-pairing at the 3rd anti-codon position. Lineage: Eukaryota; Rhodophyta; Florideophyceae; Bonnemaisoniales; Bonnemaisoniaceae. The record is from RNAcentral.
AACGAAGUAGUUCAAUUGGUAAGAACAUUGGAAUCAUAAUCCAAAAGUUGUAGGUUCAAGUCCUAUCUUCGUUA